This 497-nucleotide ribosomal RNA is filed under the name uncultured bacterium. RNAcentral's name for it is "partial 16S ribosomal RNA". It matches the Rfam family "Bacterial small subunit ribosomal RNA", at positions 28 to 507 of the family's 1533-position model. The record is from RNAcentral.
GAUGAACGCUGGCGGCGUGCCUAAUACAUGCAAGUCGAGCGAACAGACGAGGAGCUUGCUCCUCUGUCGUUAGCGGCGGACGGGUGAGUAACACGUGGAUAACCUACCUAUAAGACUGGGAUAACUUCGGGAAACCGGAGCUAAUACCGGAUAAUAUAUUGAACCGCAUGGUUCAAUAGUGAAAGACGGUUUCGCUGUCACUUAUAGAUGGAUCCGCGCCGCAUUAGCUAGUUGGUAAGGUAACGGCUUACCAAGGCAACGAUGCGUAGCCGACCUGAGAGGGUGAUCGGCCACACUGGAACUGAGACACGGUCCAGACUCCUACGGGAGGCAGCAGUAGGGAAUCUUCCGCAAUGGGCGAAAGCCUGACGGAGCAACGCCGCGUGAGUGAUGAAGGUCUUCGGAUCGUAAAACUCUGUUAUUAGGGAAGAACAAAUGUGUAAGUAACUAUGCACGUCUUGACGGUACCUAAUCAGAAAGCCACGGCUAACUACGUG